CUACGGGUGGCUCCAGUAGGGAAUAUUGGACAAUGGGCGAAAGCCUGAUCCAGCAACGCCGCGUGUGCGAUGACGGCCUUCGGGUUGUAAAGCACUUUUAGAGGAGAUGAGAAAGGACAGUAUCCUCAGAAUAAGCCUCGGCGAACUACGUGCCAGCAGCCGCGGUAAAACGUAGGAGGCAAGCGUUAUCCGGAUUUAUUGGGCGUAAAGCGCGUGCAGGCGGUCUAGCAAGUUGGAUGUGAAAGCUCCCGGCUUAACCGGGAGAGGUCGUUCAAUACUGUUAGACUAGAGAAUGGGAGAGGGAGGUGGAAUUCUGGGUGUAGUGGUGAAAUGCGUAGAUAUCCAGAGGAACACCAGUGGCGAAAGCGGCCUCCUGGACCAUUUCUGACGCUAAGACGCGAAAGCUAGGGUAGCAAACGGGAUUAGAUACCCGCGUAGUC
RNAcentral lists this ribosomal RNA (440 nucleotides) under uncultured bacterium. RNAcentral describes it as "partial 16S ribosomal RNA". It matches the Rfam family "Bacterial small subunit ribosomal RNA", at positions 339 to 795 of the family's 1533-position model. The record is from RNAcentral.